UCCAUCUUCACUUCUUUUCUAUAUCCACAAUCCUACUCGAUCGGCUAUAUAUUCUCUUUCUCCUCAAGCUUUUCUUGCAUUCAUAUUUAAGCUAUAUAGAGUAUCAUCUCAUCUCUUUUCUUCUCUUCUAGCUCUUGGAUUUUGGAAAAUGAACAAGCCUCCAAAGUACGCUACUCCAUACCCAGCCCAAGGUUAUUAUCAGGGUCCUCCCCCUCCAGUGAUGCCACCGCCAACAUAUGCUGUUCCUCCACCUCGUAAAAACAGAGGUUUUCUUAAGGGAUGCUUGGCAGCGUUAUGUUGUUGUUGCCUCCUAGACGAGUGUUGCUGUGAUCCCUCUGAUAUCUUCCUGUUCUAAGAUGCAAUCAUGGGAAUUAGUCCUUUGCUUCUUCUUUUUGAAAAGAUUUUAUGCAAAUAAUUCUAGCUAGGAUCAGCUAGUUUUGUUGUAUAUCACAAUAUACAUCUUACAUUUUCUUGAUCCUUUUGCAACUUAGUUUGGAUUUGUACAGUGAUCAUCUUUAAUCAUUGAACCCAUUUUGUUUCU
This is a long non-coding RNA of Nicotiana tabacum (common tobacco), 541 nucleotides long. RefSeq lists it as uncharacterized. The record is from RefSeq and is a predicted model, not a curated record. NCBI's taxonomy places the organism in Eukaryota, Viridiplantae, Streptophyta, Magnoliopsida, Solanales, Solanaceae.